AAUGAAGCCAAAACAUGUGCGUCCAGGCUUAAUUGGUUGCACAAAGACCAAGCCAGGAUGAGCAGACACGGAUUCAUUAAGCCAGGUGAAACCAAUCCUGGAUAGGUGCGCGCUCACGGCUCACUCAAAUAGACCCCGCCACAGAUCACAGAUUAACUGAUUUACCAUGGCAACUAGAGCCGCGUACUUUUCCCCGUCGGAAGCACAAAUCCUCAUGGAGGCAUACGAGGAGGUAAAAUAUAUAAUUAAGAAGAAAGGCAACACCGCCACAGUGAUAAAGCAAAGAGAAAAAGCGUGGCAAAGUAUUGCAGACCGCCUGAAUGCAUUAAACAUGAACGGGCCAAAACGGACAUGGCAGCAGGUCAAAAUCAAAUACAAGAACAUUCUGCAGAAUGCAGUGAAAAAGAAUACCCACAGACAAGGCACGGGUGGUGGGUCACCAAAGGCUGACCUUACCCCAGCAGAGGACAUGGCCUUGGAGCUAAAUAAAGGCAGGCCCGUCUUAGAGGGGAUCCCUGGGGGGAAAGAGACGAGCAUAGGUUCCUCCCAAGAUGCCACCCGCUUCAUUCAAGUGUCUGGCAGCACUGUGUUCCUGUUAGAGCCACCAGCACAAGCACCAGACGAUGCUGAUCCAGGUGAAGGCCCCAGUGCAGCAGCAACAGCACAUGAUGGAGACGAUGAUGAGGAGGAGACCAUCUCUCUGGAUUCCAGAAGGCAUGAGGACCCAGAUGCUAUACAGUGGGAAAACCAGCCUGGCAACAUAGUGCGUAUUAAUAAAAGGACACCACAUCCUGCCAAAUUCCAGCUGCGCUAAUUGUAUUGUGUUCACAGAGCUCACAAGCUAUCAGAAAGUUGUAUGGCAACCACCUCCGGCGCCAAAUAGAACUGGCAGACAUAGACAUUCAGUACAAGAAGAAAAAGAUGGAAAAUCUUGCACUGGAGUCCGAAAUAAAAAAGAGGACAAUUAGGAAACUGGACCUUGAAAUAAAAAAACUUGAGAGGGAGCUCCAAGAAGAUGACACAGCUCAAAAUAAAAAUUAGGUAUAUUCUCGUAAAGUCAAGUGAGCCAUGACAUAUGAGCUCUUAUUGUGAGCACACAGG
Molecule: long non-coding RNA, 1101 nt
Filed under: Salmo salar (Atlantic salmon)
Lineage: Eukaryota; Metazoa; Chordata; Actinopteri; Salmoniformes; Salmonidae
Description: lncRNA (ENSSSAG00000101494.1)
Source: RNAcentral